Molecule: non-coding RNA, 3588 nt
Organism: Drosophila virilis
Lineage: Eukaryota; Metazoa; Arthropoda; Insecta; Diptera; Drosophilidae
Source: RefSeq, a predicted model, not a curated record
AAAACAAAAGCAAAAAUUGUAUGGCAACACAACAACAAAAAUCGCCAAUGUAGCGCCCGCUGGCAAGGCGAGGCGACAACAACAACAACAACAACAGCAACAGCAACAACAUCAACAGCGCCAACAACAAUAUCAGCAGCACGUCGGCGUUUUGUGCACUCAAACGAAAACAUUUUCAGUUUUCAGUGGGGCGUCAUUGUCGUUGUUGUUGUUGUUGUUGUUGGCACUCCACAUCGCAGACAUUGGGGCAGGCGGUGGCCAAGUGCUGUGCGGAGGGGUUAGCACUCAGUGUUGCACACCUUUCGCCUGACUUGACGAGUCUUGACUCAACUGAACUCAACUGAGCUGGUUAACUGCCUGACUCUACCUGGUUGCAACAACAACGAAAACGACAACGACAACAACAAAGGCAACAACCGAGCUUAUCUUGACAGCCACCAGAGCGCUGCACCUCAGCACUUUGUAAUGAUGAUUGCGCCCAGCGGCAACGGCAACAAGAGCAACAGCUACAGCAACAACAGCAACAACAACAACAACAACAGCAACUUUAACAAUGGCAGCAGCAACAAUUGCAGCACAUGAAGUUCAAUUGCCAAACUAUGCGAAACAAAGCGAACUUCACUAAUUUGUCUUAGCCCAAAGAUUAAAAUACGUGUAAUUCAUUUUGUUUGCCAGCAAUUGCCAUACAAAACGGAAUUUGAACAGAAAUGUUACCAAGAUCCGUCUUUUAUGCUCUGUCUAGGGUCUGAUAACGAAACUUGAUCAAAACUCUAUUGAUUUUCAUGCGAGUUUACAUUAUUUUUUCUCUAAUUUAAACCAAUCAAAACUCUAUGCGCUUUUAUGCUUUAUGAUAUAUUUUUGCGUCUACAUAAACUUUGCAUGCAAAAUUUAAGCAUUUCCGUUUAACUAACAUAACUCGAUCAAAGCUCUUUCCGGGCUUAACCAAACUUCAGACUCUUAUUACUCAAGUACAACUUUCUCUAAGAUAUAUCUUUUCGUUCAGAAUUUGUGCCUCAGAUCGAUUUGAUGCUUAUUUAUUUUCUGUUUAAGUAAACAUAUUUUCUCCAGCCUUUGCACUUUAAAUCUGUUGCCUAAUGUACGUAUAUUUUUAUGGCACUUUGACAACGACAACGGGUUAAGGCGGAAAAAGAAAAGACAACUCAAUUGUCUGCUUCCCAGUGGCCACUCGACGCCGCCUUUCACACCUUUUCUACACCCACAACCACUCCCACACACACACACACACACACACACACACACACAGCUGCAGUUGGCAAAGAGGUAAAAGGAAAAUCAAUUUUCAGCCAGAAAGCGCACGCGAGUACGAAAAAAUAAAAGAAAGAAGGAAAGCAAUGAAAUGUGCCAGGCCAUAAAAUGCAACUGUCAACGAAAAACUUUGUUGUUGCUUGCCAAUUUGUUGUUGUUGCUGUUUUUCUUGUUGCUGUUGGUGCAACAUGAAAAUGGCUUGCAGCUUGCCGCGCUGGCAAAAUAUUGAAUUCAAUUUAAAGCGCAAGCGGCGUUCAUAAAUCUCCACCAUGUGCAGAGAGUAGAAAGGCAGAAACAGCCAAAGGCACAGACCCCAACAAAGUGAAAGAGUCGCAAAUGCGCCCAAAAGCUGAAGGGGGGACCCCAAAGAUUAUGGCCCACGGCUCAGCCAGGCUUGGCUCAUUGCCGCGAUUACAGUCGUGACGGGAGGGGGGCAGGGGGGCCUGUUGUUGCCUGCUGCCACAAAUUGUUGCCCUUCCCCAGAUGCUGCAUGGCAAAAUUAAAUACCAAAAAUAAAAAACAAAAAAACCAACCAAACAAAACAAAAAAAAACUGUCGACACUUGAAAUUGUGCAAAACGAGGCGCACAAAAUGAAUGAAAAUUAAUUUCAAUUAAAAAAAGCUUAAGUGGAAUGGUAUAUUAAUGGAUUUAUGCGCAGCUUUCCUGCAGAGCAUUAAGCUCUGCUCACGCUUAAAACUGCUUGCGAAUUAUAAGCGUUUGCUGGGCAAGCAGUUCCAUGCUUCUUUCUUGCAUUAGCAUGAUAUCGUUCGACUUUUAUUAUAUCAUUAUGAUAGGCUACAAAUAGCGUCGAAUGCCCCUGCCCCAAACCUUUUAGCCAAAUUAAUUGCCAAUGGCAUUUGGCCAGACAGCUGCAAAGUCUGCUUUAUGAACGCCCAUCAUAAAUUAACGUGGAAAAUUUUGCGUGACGUUGGCAAAAAAAAACAAAAACCGAAAAAAAAAAAGAAACCUUGUCGCACUUUGAUUACUUGCUGUGUUGCCCCAAAAGUGGGGUAGCGCGGAGCGGCUAUGCAAAUCUUGACUAGUAGCUGCCACCGCGGCAACUAAAUGAACAUUGCGAUUGCCCCUGUGGCUGCCCCUGCGCCAGUGCCUGUGCCUUCAGCUCGGGAAUUGUUUAACUUCAUCAGGCGAGGCAAAGAUGGCAACAAGAGCUGAAUGUAUUAUAUAUCUAGCCUAUGUGUGCCUGUGUUCGUGUAUGUGUGUGUGUGUGUGUGUGUGUGUGUUGGUCUGUGGCAAGUCUGUUGCCUGGCAUCGUAUCUGCCCGGCAGUUACUUUAGCUCUACAGUGCCUCAUUCUUCUCUGGCUUUUGUGCCCUUUACUGCAACAUAAAACCAAAAGUAUGCUGCAGCUAAAAGGCCCCGAGGACAACAGACCAAAGCACUUGAACAGCGCGCUGAGGUUGCAAAAGAUUCAGUAGAGCGAGGUGAGACACGGGCGCGGAAACGGGCCAGAAAGAAGCAAAAAUACUCUAGAGACAGUUUUAACUAAGAGUUAGCCAGUGCCAAAGUCUUGAUCAUAUAAAAAUGUUUAAGUCUUGAAUUUAAGACUAAGAUGUUGUUAGGCAAUUAACAUUUUUAUUAAAGUAACUUCAAAUGUUGUCAAUUCCACAGCGAAGGCAACAAAUUAUGUAAAAAAAAUGCUGUUAAAUUGACGCUGACAGUUGCUUAACAUGGUAUACAAACUCUUUUAAAAGCUUUUUUAAGUAAAUACUCUGCACAUUUAAAACUAUAUAUUUACAUAACAGCUUCUGAACAUAGCGCUAUGAUGUUAAAGUGGUACAGUUUUUAUCGCUGUUAACUAGAUGUUGUUAAAGUAACUGACGCAUAUCUUUGUUAACAGCUGCUUAACAUAGUCUGCUCUGUUAAGGCCCCGUUGUUGGCCUUUGCGUAGCGCUGUUUAUAAAAGCACGCCCCAUAUCCCUAACAGUUGAUACUCAAAACACAAACUAAAUUCCAUAUACCCCGUUUCAUGCACAUUUUAAAUGCAGAGCAUGCGAAUGUCGUGUCCCAAGACAAACUGAAAAGAUUUGCAAUAUUUGCUGUUGUGGUCGGGGCUGCCGCAUUUAUUGCUGUUGCGGCAGCCUGAAACAAACACAACUCAAAUUGAAAUGUAGAAAGUUAUGAAUCUGAAGAUAAACUUAAUUUGGGCACAGUCCGGCACACACAAUUUGGCUGUAAAUAAUUAAAGACCACAAAGACCCAGAGGUAUGCUCAAAACCAGCUAUCGAAUAUGAAUGGAAUAAUCAAUCGAUAAAUCGAAUUAAGAAGCUGCUGCUGCACACAUUACAACAACUUCAAGCCAAA